RNAcentral lists this small nuclear RNA (18 nucleotides) under Arabidopsis thaliana (thale cress). Its description in RNAcentral is "snRNA_10831". Lineage: Eukaryota; Viridiplantae; Streptophyta; Magnoliopsida; Brassicales; Brassicaceae. The record is from RNAcentral.
UGGCGGGAUCCCUCGCGG